Molecule: ribosomal RNA, 350 nt
Filed under: Emersonella nr. carballoi MPAC-2004
Lineage: Eukaryota; Metazoa; Arthropoda; Insecta; Hymenoptera; Eulophidae
Description: eukaryotic LSU rRNA
Source: RNAcentral
GUCGACGUGCACUUCUCCCCUAGUAGGACGUCGCGACUCGUUGAGUGUCCGACCGAUUGCCGUUUGGUCGCCUGUCUCGUCGCGUUCACGCGUGCACGUGGCAGACCGAAAUGGUCGAGCGUCCGACUGCCCGGCGGUAUAGAACGCUUAUGAACGGUAAUUAGCCGCAUUAAGUGCGUUCAGUCUCGUCGGCAGGCUCGUCUCGCCCGGAUUUACGGACCUAGUGCCGUUGCCGGGUGCUUGGCGUGGCCGUUAGUCGACGGUGUCCUCGGACUGGCUCUAAAAUUCGAAAGGAUUACCGGUCGGCGAUGUUACUGCUUUUGGUACUUUCAGGACCCGUCUUGAAACAG